GUGAAUCAUCGAAUUUUUGAACGCACAUUGCACUCCCUGGCAUUCCGGAGAGUAUGCCUGUUUGAGGGUCAGUUUAAAUCAAAAUCGCGGUGUUGCUGUUUUGUGCUCCCUCGGAAUUGGGUUCUCUUUGACCUUUUAAAAAGUUUAAGUGACCUAAAAUUCCUACCUUGCGCAUCACUGCCGUACAUAAGAAUAUUUUUUUCUCCGUCCGCAGUUGCCAACUUUUUAUCAUGUAUGUCCAUGCUGUUUGUGGUAUCGUCCCUAUAUUAUCAUCAUAUUUUGACCUCGAAUC
Molecule: unclassified non-coding RNA, 292 nt
Filed under: Glomeraceae sp.
Lineage: Eukaryota; Fungi; Glomeromycota; Glomeromycetes; Glomerales; Glomeraceae
Description: partial contains 5.8S ribosomal RNA and internal transcribed spacer 2
Rfam family: 5.8S ribosomal RNA (bases 1-71)
Source: RNAcentral